This 1952-nucleotide long non-coding RNA is filed under the name Mus musculus (house mouse). RNAcentral describes it as "long non-coding RNA chr5:42972392-42974344". Lineage: Eukaryota; Metazoa; Chordata; Mammalia; Rodentia; Muridae. The record is from RNAcentral.
ACAAAAAUUUUAAAAGAAAAAUUUAAAAAUAUAACAUUAAUUACUAACCUUGGGAGAAACUUCCACAUAGAAGAAGCUUAAACCAGGAGUCACAUGGCUCCAUUUAUAAACUCUUCUGCCUCUGAUUGGUAGUAUAACCUUGAGGAAAAUUCUUGAUAUCUCUGAACUCAUGUGAACUAAAGGACUAGGGUCAGUCGAGAACCAGACAACCUAGUUUGGAAUUAGUACAAUCUGUUAUUUCUAUACUCUUCCUCUAUUGUGUUCAAAAUAAGGAUAAUUGACAGUCCAAUAUUCAUGGAAUUUAUGGGAUGGGGAGAGUUGGGUUUGUUCCACUUUGUCCUUAGUUGGUUUCUUGAUUAAUUCUUGUAUGUGUUUUUAUAACCAGAGUCUGGGUAAUCUAUAACAUGUAGAAAUUUACUGAACAUGGCUCAUGAAGUUGGGAAGUCAAAGAUCAAAAUAACGGGCAGUUAUUUUGUCAGUUAAAAGACUGGUCCCUGCUUCGAAGAUAACACCUUGACUGGGGUAUAUAAGUAAAGGAAUGCUGCUCCUCCUCUGGCAAGAGUGAAAACUUAGCAAGCCUGUUCUGACACACAAUUUAAGAAGUCAAAAACCCAUUCAAGAGGCUCAAGUUCUCAGGAGAUAAUGCUGAUCUUGAUCAGAUGCUGUCUGUCAAGUCAAGCCUACCACAUGACAAAGCUGUAAUAGGAAGUAAGUUCCCAACAUGUGAAUGGUGAGGGACAUGCAUAGGUCAUCCCAGUAGGAAAGAAUACUUAAGUGGAAGCCAUGGCAAGCAACUUUAUUCAUUUCCUUUGACCUCUAUUUUCCCACAGGCAUAAUGGCCAUAAUUGCAUUCUCUGUCUCAAAGAACAGUACUUAGCAUGUGCUUCUCAGGUAAAAGCUUUACUGCUGUUCUCCAGAGGAACAAAGGAGUCAUCUUCAAGGAAUGUCACAAGGUAAAGUAAUCCGAUUUGUGUUUUCUUAGAACUCACUAUUCUCCUUAUGUGCACUAGAACUAAAACUUGAACUGAUGAAAUUGCAAGUUAUUUAAGAGGGAAAUUUUCCUUGAAGCAUGAUCUAUUUUUCUCUGAAAGAAGAGGGUGGAGAAAAGGGAUACAAUCUAAAUGUUCCUUUCAGGCUGGGAAAACAUCCUUUUCCGGGGGUGGGGGUGAGUGAGGAGGGUUGUAGUAAUAGUUUAUUUUGUUACACAUUUUGUUUGCUUACAGUGACUAUUUUAUCUCAGUUUUCCAAGCUUGAAUGCUGUGUGGUUCAGGUGUAACUAGCAGUUAGGAAGAUUUUGGUUACCAUACUCAGUAAACCCAGGAAGGUAUUCCUAUAGAAUCGCCCACUUUGACGUCAAAGAACAAAUUGAUCUUGGGCACUAAUUUUGCCUAAAACAGCUGCCUGGAAAGGAUGUACUAUCUUUGACAAUGACAAUAUUCUUCUGCAUAGAAACCAAACACUUCCUUCUCCUUAGCAUAUGUUGUAAACCAGCUUGUUAUAUUGAUGCUCAAAGCCUUUGUCAUUUGGCCAUGAGUGUUUUCUUACUUUAUUAUCUAACAUUCUUUCUUUGGCUCAUAAGGAUUUCAACAUCUCUCUACUGUCUACACUCACAUUUUCCAUAUGUCCAGUUUCUAAGCAUCAAACUCCUUUGAAAACAAGUGUUUGUGACACUGUAAAACUAAUCCAAAACCCAUGACUGAAGAGGUUUUUGGCCCUAUGGGGGACUUAAUAGUGUUGCUUAGCUAAAUUGUGACAGCAUCAAGCCACCUUUUACAUAUCUGUGUUACAGAUAAUAGACAAUGGCUACUCUGAGCCUGAAUCAGAGAAGCUUCUCCUUGUUGUCAAUAAAGUGAAUAAAAAGUCCAUAGCUUCAGAAGAUGCAGAGAAAUAAAGGGUAGUUGAGGGUUUAUCCCUGAAAAAGACCAUUAUAUCAUCCUUCUUAAAUCAUUGCU